UUUUGCCGAAUCCCAUUAUUUUUAAAUGGGAGCGGGGGAACCAAUGAAUUUUAGGGGCGAAUCCAUUUAUGGUAAGGUUACCCUUUAACCUGAGUCCGACAGCUAACUCCGUAGGCGUUAUUAAAGGGA
RNAcentral lists this small RNA (129 nucleotides) under marine eukaryotic metagenome. Its description in RNAcentral is "ydaO/yuaA leader". It matches the Rfam family "c-di-AMP riboswitch aptamer (ydaO/yuaA leader)". From Rfam's summary of the family: This family represents a conserved RNA structure found upstream of the ydaO and yuaA genes in Bacillus subtilis and related genes in other bacteria. The ydaO/yuaA element is thought to act as a genetic "off" switch for the ydaO and yuaA genes in its native state. It is believed that the element may be triggered during osmotic shock leading to activation of ydaO, a predicted amino acid transporter gene, and members of the yuaA-yubG operon which code for KtrA and KtrB K+ transporters. The record is from RNAcentral.